GAGACGCUGGCGGCGUGCUUAACGACAGUGCAAGUCGAACGGAAAGGCCCGUGCUUUUGUGGGGUGCUCGAGUGGCGAACGGGUGAGUAACACGUGAGUAACCUGCCCUUGACUUUGGGAUAACUUCAGGAAACUGGGGCUAAUACCGGAUAGGAGCUCCUGCUGCAUGGUGGGGGUUGGAAAGUUUCGGCGGUUGGGGAUGGACUCGCGGCUUAUCAGCUUGUUGGUGGGGUAGUGGCUUACCAAGGCUUUGACCGGGUAGCCGGCCUGAGAGGGUGACCGGCCACCAUUGGGACUGAGAUACGGCCCAGACUCCUACGGGAGGCAGCAGUGGGGAAUAUUGCACAAUGGGCGGAAGCCUGAUGCAGCAACGCCGCGUGCGGGAUGACGGCCUUCGGGUUGUAAACCGCUUUCGCCUGUGACGAAGCGUGAGUGACGGUAAUGGGUAAAGAAGCACCGGCUAACUACGUG
This 471-nucleotide ribosomal RNA is filed under the name uncultured Propionibacterium sp. RNAcentral's name for it is "bacterial SSU rRNA". It matches the Rfam family "Bacterial small subunit ribosomal RNA", at positions 33 to 507 of the family's 1533-position model. Lineage: Bacteria; Bacillati; Actinomycetota; Actinomycetes; Propionibacteriales; Propionibacteriaceae. The record is from RNAcentral.